GUACCGGGGCUAAACAUAUUACCGAAGCUGUGGAGUACACCUUUAGGUGUAUUGGUAGGAGAGCGUUCUAAGGGCGUUGAAGGCAGAUCGUGAGGACUGCUGGAGCGCUUAGAAGUGAGAAUGCCGGUAUGAGUAGCGAAAGACAGGUGAGAAUCCUGUCCACCGAAUGACUAAGGUUUCCUGGGGAAGGCUCGUCCGCCCAGGGUUAGUCGGGACCUAAGCCGAGGCCGACAGGCGUAGGCGAUGGAUAACAGGUUGAUAUUCCUGUACCCGUUGUUUUUGUUUGAGCAAUGGAGGGACGCAGGAGGCUAAGGAAUGCAGACGAUCGGAAAUGUCUGUCCAAGCAGUAAGUCUGAAGAGGAGUCAAAUGCUUCUUUUCUUAAGGACAAGCUGUGAUGGGGAGGGAAAUAAUAGUACCGAAGUUCCUGAUGUCACACUGCCGAGAAAAGCUUCUAGUGAGAAAACAGCGGCCCGUACCGCAAACCGACACAGGUAGUCGAGGAGAGAAUCCUAAGGUGAGCGAGAGAACUCUCGUUAAGGAACUCGGCAAAAUGACCCCGUAACUUCGGGAGAAGGGGUGCUGAUCAUACGAUCAGCCGCAGUGAAUAGGCCCAAGCGA
RNAcentral lists this ribosomal RNA (619 nucleotides) under Enterococcus faecium. RNAcentral's name for it is "partial 23S ribosomal RNA". It matches the Rfam family "Bacterial large subunit ribosomal RNA", at positions 1172 to 1799 of the family's 2925-position model. Lineage: Bacteria; Bacillati; Bacillota; Bacilli; Lactobacillales; Enterococcaceae. The record is from RNAcentral.